RNAcentral lists this ribosomal RNA (271 nucleotides) under uncultured bacterium. RNAcentral describes it as "partial 16S ribosomal RNA". It matches the Rfam family "Bacterial small subunit ribosomal RNA", at positions 333 to 596 of the family's 1533-position model. The record is from RNAcentral.
UGACUCCUACGGGACGCAGCAGUAGGGAAUCUUCCACAAUGGGCGAAAGCCUGAUGGAGCAACGCCGCGUGGGUGAAGAAGGUCUUCGGAUCGUAAAACCCUGUUGUUAGAGAAGAAAGUGCGUGAGCGUAACUGUUCACGUUUCGACGGUAUCUAACCAGAAAGCCACGGCUAACUACGUGCCCGCAGCCGCGGUAAUACGUAGGUGGCAAGCGUUAUCCGGAUUUAUUGGGCGUAAAGAGAACGCAGGCGGUCUUUUAAGGCUGAUGUG